RNAcentral lists this small RNA (626 nucleotides) under Rattus norvegicus (Norway rat). RNAcentral's name for it is "uncharacterized LOC108350373". Lineage: Eukaryota; Metazoa; Chordata; Mammalia; Rodentia; Muridae. The record is from RNAcentral.
AUCAAGCAGAUCACAUAUGUUCACCGCUGUUCACGUGUAAGCUACCUGCCGUCUUCGGUAAUCAUUUCCAGAGUCAUCUGAUCCAAGCCUCUGUCACCACCUUCUCCCUGAUGCGCUGCCAGACCCACUUUUCCAGUCCUUGAAAUAUUCAAAGGGGAUCACAGUACUACACUGUGAGGGAGUCCUGGAAGAGCACCAGGAAGCCUCAGAUAUUCAGAGUGGCCACAAGCAUCCACUUAGGACAGGACAUUAGAGAAGCAGGCUUCUUCACCUAUGCCUGAGCUGGCUACUUCCCAGGUGAAGAUGUAGAACUCAGCUCCUCCUGCACCAUGCCUGCCUGGAUACUGUGAUGCUGCCAUGCUCCUCCCUUAAUGAUAAUGGACUGAACCUCUGAUCCUACCUGGAAACCUGUCUCAGCUUCCUGCCACCAUGCCUUCCCCACCAUUCAAAUAGAGACCUGAAAUUGACCCACCCAAAGUUGAGUUCAACAGGUGUUUGAUCACAGCAAUGAGUUGCAGGACCAGCGAGGUGGAAGAAGCUGAGGUGUAAAGUAAGCUGUUAGUGGGAUCAGCAGUCCCAACUCUCCCGGACCCCUGAGAUCUCCCAGACACUGGGGCACCAACCAG